This 685-nucleotide ribosomal RNA is filed under the name uncultured Staphylococcus sp. RNAcentral's name for it is "bacterial SSU rRNA". It matches the Rfam family "Bacterial small subunit ribosomal RNA", at positions 58 to 725 of the family's 1533-position model. The record is from RNAcentral. Lineage: Bacteria; Bacillati; Bacillota; Bacilli; Caryophanales; Staphylococcaceae.
CAAGUCGAGCGAACGGACGAGAAGCUUGCUUCUCUGAUGUUAGCGGCGGACGGGUGAGUAACACGUGGAUAACCUACCUAUAAGACUGGGAUAACUUCGGGAAACCGGAGCUAAUACCGGAUAAUAUUUUGAACCGCAUGGUUCAAAAGUGAAAGACGGUCUUGCUGUCACUUAUAGAUGGAUCCGCGCUGCAUUAGCUAGUUGGUAAGGUAACGGCUUACCAAGGCAACGAUGCAUAGCCGACCUGAGAGGGUGAUCGGCCACACUGGAACUGAGACACGGUCCAGACUCCUACGGGAGGCAGCAGUAGGGAACCUUCCGCAAUGGGCGAAAGCCUGACGGAGCAACGCCGCGUGAGUGAUGAAGGUCUUCGGAUCGUAAAACUCUGUUAUUAGGGAAGAACAUAUGUGUAAGUAACUGUGCACAUCUUGACGGUACCUAAUCAGAAAGCCACGGCUAACUACGUGCCAGCAGCCGCGGUAAUACGUAGGUGGCAAGCGUUAUCCGGAAUUAUUGGGCGUAAAGCGCGCGUAGGCGGUUUUUUAAGUCUGAUGUGAAAGCCCACGGCUCAACCGUGGAGGGUCAUUGGAAACUGGAAAACUUGAGUGCAGAAGAGGAAAGUGGAAUUCCAUGUGUAGCGGUGAAAUGCGCAGAGAUAUGGAGGAACACCAGUGGCGAAGGCGAC